UACGGAGGGUGCAAGCGUUGUCCGGAAUCACUGGGCGUAAAGGGCGCGUAGGCGGCUCAUGAAGGCUGUGGUGAAAGUCCGGGGCUCAACCUCGGAUCGGUCGUGGCGACUCGUGGGCUGGAGCACUGUAGAGGCGGGUGGAAUUCCGGGUGUAGCGGUGGAAUGCGUAGAGAUCCGGAAGAACACCAGUGGCGAAGGCGGCCCGCUGGGUAGUGGCUGACGCUGAGGCGCGACAGCGUGGGGAGCGAACAGG
This 253-nucleotide ribosomal RNA is filed under the name uncultured bacterium. RNAcentral's name for it is "partial 16S ribosomal RNA". It matches the Rfam family "Bacterial small subunit ribosomal RNA", at positions 524 to 776 of the family's 1533-position model. The record is from RNAcentral.